RNAcentral lists this ribosomal RNA (482 nucleotides) under uncultured bacterium. Its description in RNAcentral is "partial 16S ribosomal RNA". It matches the Rfam family "Bacterial small subunit ribosomal RNA", at positions 30 to 507 of the family's 1533-position model. The record is from RNAcentral.
AUUGAACGCUGGCGGCAUGCCUUACACAUGCAAGUCGAACGGUAACGGGCCUUCGGGUGCCGACGAGUGGCGAACGGGUGAGUAAUACAUCGGAACGUGCCCGAUCGUGGGGGAUAACGAGGCGAAAGCUUUGCUAAUACCGCAUACGAUCUACGGAUGAAAGCCGGGGACCGCAAGGCCUUGCGCGGACGGAGCGGCCGAUGGCAGAUUAGGUAGUUGGUGGGAUAAAAGCUUACCAAGCCGACGAUCUGUAGCUGGUCUGAGAGGAUGAUCAGCCACACUGGGACUGAGACACGGCCCAGACUCCUACGGCAGGCAGCAGUGGGGAAUUUUGGACAAUGGGCGCAAGCCUGAUCCAGCCAUGCCGCGUGCAGGAUGAAGGCCUUCGGGUUGUAAACUGCUUUUGUACGGAACGAAAAGCCUUCUUUUAAUACAGGAGGGUCAUGACGGUACCGUAAGAAUAAGCACCGGCUAACUACGUG